GUGAACGCUGGCGGUAGGCCUAACACAUGCAAGUCGAACGGCAGCACAGUAAGAGCUUGCUCUUACGGGUGGCGAGUGGCGGACGGGUGAGGAAUACAUCGGAAUCUACUUUUUCGUGGGGGAUAACGUAGGGAAACUUACGCUAAUACCGCAUACGACCUACGGGUGAAAGCAGGGGAUCUUCGGACCUUGCGCGAUUGAAUGAGCCGAUGUCGGAUUAGCUAGUUGGCGGGGUAAAGGCCCACCAAGGCGACGAUCCGUAGCUGGUCUGAGAGGAUGAUCAGCCACACUGGAACUGAGACACGGUCCAGACUCCCACGGGAGGCAGCAGUGGGGAAUAUUGGACAAUGGGCGCAAGCCUGAUCCAGCCAUACCGCGUGGGUGAAGAAGGCCUUCGGGUUGUAAAGCCCUUUUGUUGGGAAAGAAAAGCAGCAGGUUAAUACCCCGCUGUCCUGACGGUACCCAAAGAAUAAGCACCGGCUAACUUCGUG
This 491-nucleotide ribosomal RNA is filed under the name uncultured bacterium. RNAcentral's name for it is "partial 16S ribosomal RNA". It matches the Rfam family "Bacterial small subunit ribosomal RNA", at positions 29 to 507 of the family's 1533-position model. The record is from RNAcentral.